ACACAGUGCUCAGUUGGUAGAGCAUGAGAUUCUUAAUCUCAGGGUUGUGGGUUCGAGCCCCACAUUGGGCA
Molecule: non-coding RNA, 71 nt
Organism: Podarcis lilfordi (Lilford's wall lizard)
Lineage: Eukaryota; Metazoa; Chordata; Lepidosauria; Squamata; Lacertidae
Source: the annotation of a GenBank genome assembly